Molecule: transfer RNA, 77 nt
Filed under: Capsicum annuum
Lineage: Eukaryota; Viridiplantae; Streptophyta; Magnoliopsida; Solanales; Solanaceae
Rfam family: tRNA
About the family: Transfer RNA (tRNA) molecules are approximately 80 nucleotides in length.
Source: Rfam by way of RNAcentral
GACAGUUUGGCCGAGUGGUCUAAGGUUCCAGAUUUAGGCUCUGGUCGAGGGCGUGGGUUCAAAUUCGACAGCUGUCA